CCUAGGGGGGGCAGCAGUGGGGAAUAUUGGACAAUGGGGGCAACCCUGAUCCAGCCAUGCCGCGUGUGUGAAGAAGGCCCUCGGGUUGUAAAGCACUUUCAGUGAGGAAGAACGCCUGGUGGUUAAUACCCAUCAGGAAAGACAUCACUCACAGAAGAAGCACCGGCUAACUCCGUGCCAGCAGCCGCGGUAAUACGGAGGGUGCGAGCGUUAAUCGGAAUUACUGGGCGUAAAGCGCGCGUAGGUGGCUUGAUAAGCCGGUUGUGAAAGCCCCGGGCUCAACCUGGGAACGGCAUCCGGAACUGUCAAGCUAGAGUGCAGGAGAGGAAGGUAGAAUUCCCGGUGUAGCGGUGAAAUGCGUAGAGAUCGGGAGGAAUACCAGUGGCGAAGGCGGCCUUCUGGACUGACACUGACACUGAGGUGCGAAAGCGUGGGUAGCAAACAGGAUUAGAUACCCUAGUAGUC
RNAcentral lists this ribosomal RNA (465 nucleotides) under Vreelandella stevensii. RNAcentral's name for it is "partial 16S ribosomal RNA". It matches the Rfam family "Bacterial small subunit ribosomal RNA", at positions 338 to 795 of the family's 1533-position model. The record is from RNAcentral. Lineage: Bacteria; Pseudomonadati; Pseudomonadota; Gammaproteobacteria; Oceanospirillales; Halomonadaceae.